This 253-nucleotide ribosomal RNA is filed under the name uncultured bacterium. Its description in RNAcentral is "partial 16S ribosomal RNA". It matches the Rfam family "Bacterial small subunit ribosomal RNA", at positions 524 to 776 of the family's 1533-position model. The record is from RNAcentral.
UACGAAGGGUGCAAACGUUGCUCGGAAUUAUUGGGCGUAAAGCGCACGUAGGCGGCUUAGCAAGUCGGAAGUGAAAGCCCUCGGCUCAACCAAGGAAGUGCUUUCGAAACUGCUGAGCUUGAGUAGUUAAGAGGAUCGCGGAAUUCCCGGUGUAGAGGUGAAAUUCGUAGAUAUCGAGAGGAACACCAGUGGCGAAGGCGGCGAUCUGGGAACAUACUGACGCUGAGGUGCGAAAGCGUGGGGAGCAAACAGG